CGUGUUUUAGUAUUUCUGAAUAUUUUUUGGUACUUUUUUUUUCUGGUAUUUGGUUCCACCUUCCGAUCUAAAUCAACGAUCUAGAUCAAUGAACGAUCCACCUUUUUUACAACCACCGUAAAACUUGAAAUAUUAUAUUAUUAUUAGCAAAUAUGUCUGUGUGUUGCAACGGGAAUAAAACAUCAAAUGGCCACAUAAAGUAAUGAUAUAAUGUUACAUAUCUAGUUAUAUUUAUUCUUUUUAUAAAAUUCAAAGUCCAUAAUUUAUUUUAGUGGUAACCAUGACAUCUAUGGUAUUAGAUAGUUAAUAUUUAUAACAAUACAUAGCUUGGAGACAUAUUUAUUUAAUAAUAAAAAUACAAAUUAGGUAAGCCUUAUCUUAUUCUAAUAUUACCUCUUAAUAUACCUUAGUAUUAUAUUAAAACAUGAGAAGUUUGUUGCUAGCUUUAUUUUUUUUAUUUAGAUUAGGAUUUCUAUGGAAUAUGAUAUAUCAGUUAAAUAUAUGUAGAUUAUGAACACAUGGGCUUAUGAAAUGUUCAUAUGACAUAAUAACACAUCGUGCAAAGGUAGUGGAAGCAUUAUUUUUUAUUUUUACAUACUUAAAUUGAUUCUAAACUAUUUAACAAGCAUAAAUCUAGGUAAAUUAGAAAAUCGGUGAGAUAUGCAGG
RNAcentral lists this long non-coding RNA (667 nucleotides) under Sorghum bicolor (sorghum). RNAcentral's name for it is "long non-coding RNA (SBIC_LNC011812)". Lineage: Eukaryota; Viridiplantae; Streptophyta; Magnoliopsida; Poales; Poaceae. The record is from RNAcentral.